RNAcentral lists this ribosomal RNA (459 nucleotides) under uncultured bacterium. Its description in RNAcentral is "partial 16S ribosomal RNA". It matches the Rfam family "Bacterial small subunit ribosomal RNA", at positions 338 to 795 of the family's 1533-position model. The record is from RNAcentral.
CCUACGGGAGUCAGCAGUGAGGAAUAUUGGUCAAUGGCCGGGAGGCUGAACCAGCCAAGUCGCGUGAGGGAAGACGGCCCUACGGGUUGUCAACCUCUUUUGUCAGGGAGCCAGGUGCAGGUCGGGACCUGCUGUGCGAGUACCUGAAGAAAAAGCCUCGGCUAACUCAGUGUCAGCAGCCGCGGUAAUACGGAGGAUUCGAGCGUUAUCCGGAUUUAUUGGGUUUAAAGGGUGCGCAGGCGGAGGCACAAGUCAGCGGUAAAAUCGCGGGGCUCAACCCCGCUCCGCUGUUGAAACUGUGUCCCUUGAGUGCGCGAAGGGUAGGCGGAAUGCGUGGUGUAGCGGUGAAAUGCAUAGAUAUCACGCAGAACUCCGAUCGCGAAGGCAGCCUACCGGCGCGCAACUGACGCUCAUGCACGAAAGCGUGGGUAUCGAACAGGAUUAGAUACCCGGGUAGUC